This 33-nucleotide ribosomal RNA is filed under the name Aspergillus carbonarius. RNAcentral's name for it is "partial 18S ribosomal RNA". The record is from RNAcentral. Lineage: Eukaryota; Fungi; Ascomycota; Eurotiomycetes; Eurotiales; Aspergillaceae.
CUUCCGUAGGGGUAACCUGCGGAAGGAUCAUUA